Lagopus leucura (white-tailed ptarmigan) is the source of this 2334-nucleotide long non-coding RNA. RefSeq lists it as uncharacterized. The transcript is spliced from 3 exons. The record is from RefSeq and is a predicted model, not a curated record. NCBI's taxonomy places the organism in Eukaryota, Metazoa, Chordata, Aves, Galliformes, Phasianidae.
ACAUUUCCACUGUAUUUUUGAUUAUUUUAAUUACUUUCUCAUGAAAAAAAAAAACCUUUAGGAAUUCCAGAACCUAUCUAGAUAAGGGUCAUUGUUACAUCAAUUAAUUACAUCAGUUUUACAGGAACGGACCUGGGGUGGCUUCACUCAUAUCUAUGACCAAAAGAGACUCAGAAUGAAAGGCUCAUGGCAGCUAUUGGACAUAUCAUUCCCACCUUUACUUUCCCUCGGAGCAGAGAAACAUGGAUGAAAUCAGAGAGAGAGCUUUCUAAAUGCAACCUCUUCACACAUGGAAUAGGUUCACUGGAAGCAGCUGGAGAUCGGCAGAUCUGGAGCCAGUUACGCACUUGCCACAGACUCCUACAUUUGAGAUCUGGACCAAAUUUAUAGCUGAAAAACACUGCCCUCCGCAGGCUGAGAGCUUCAGAAGCGCAGCAGAAGCAGAAGCAGCAAUAGCUCUGCUAUUUGGGGUAACCUGCAAACACACAGAGCAAAGCUCUGUGUUUACACCAGUGAUUCUUCCUGUGGAUUCAGGAAAGGGGUGUGUAGAAAUCUACUGCAAAAGCUUCAAAAGAAAAAAAAAGAAAUUAAAUAAAAACACUGCAGCUUCCACAGCAGAGUGUGAGCAGUGAUACAGAGAUGCACCAGGAUGGCAGCAUCAAGUGUUUUCUCCCCCUCCACCCAGGAACCCAAGGUCUGCAUGAAAGCUGCUCACUAACCUGUACAGCUGACAAAGGCUUUCAUCCUUAGCGUCAGGCUCCAAAUUCACUGCAAACAAUGAGAACGUUGUCGCAGAAUGCUGGCUCAUGCCUGUCAUGAUCAGGGAAUGACUUACUUGAGGGAGAUGACUGGGCCUGUAAAGGGAAAUGUACAUCAAAUGUAGAUGACUGUGAGGAAAUAGGACUAGGGGCAACUGACCCAAACAAGAAAUCCAUAUUAAAUGGGAGAAUUAUGCAACAUACUGUAGGAAAGGAUUUAAGGACAAUUCCUGAAAGUCCAAAUCCUAGUUUAGGACUACAGUUUCAGAAUAAAAAAUACAACAACAAUAAAGAAGAAAUAAAAAUAAUAACACAGAAACGUAGGUGGUGAUAGAGGAUGCAGAAAUGCAUUGAGAGUUGAGAAAAACGCAAAGCAUUUAUAGCUGCUGUAGCUUGGUACCAAAAGGACCAUCAGAGGGACAGUCACCAUUUGUCACUGAUUCAGAGAGGACUUCAAAGUGGUGCAGCAGCACCUGCCAAAACAUUGCUGAAUGUGGAGGCUGAACGUGCUUGCUGUGCUCUCAGGUAUCGCUAGCACAAGCACAGCCAGCUACAUAUCUGCUUAUACCAAAGAUUACGUUCGCUUUUUCCUCCUAAUUCUUCCAGCAUCUAAAGUAAUUGGGAUUCCACCCAGGAUAGAGAAGAUAGGGAUAGGACCUCUCAGGCUCUUUCUAUGCCGGAGCGAGAAAAAUAAAAGGAACUAGAGCGUUGAGCUAAGUGGCUUUUCCCUUCUAACAAUUGUCAUGGCCUUGAAAUUUAGUUUGAAAUGGAGCAGUCUGCUAUUUCCACAUCAAAAAUCAAUACAAUCAACAAGUUAAAACAUUCUCAGUUACAAUGAAAAAGUAUCUGGGGAAAUAAUACGAUACCUUAAUGAACAUCUGAAAACUUAAAGGCCAUCAGAAAAUAGAAAAUCUCUCUGCUUGCCCAAGGCACAGACAUGGCACCACACAGAAACUGGAGGAGAUAGGAUGUCUAUUCCCAGCCCUGUUGUCUUACUGCUCGGUGACCUUGGGCAAGUCACUUCACUGUCCCCUGCCACCAAGAAUUAUUAUUAUUUCUUUAGUUCGCUGAAAUUUCUCACAAUCUGUACUUAAAAUCGUAUUUCUCUUACAUAUAAUAAUUCUACUCCUCUAAAUAUCAGGAGUAUACGCAUAAUUUAAUAAAGUGACAGAAUUUAGCACAAAGCUGCAGUAGGAAAGAACUUGCACAGACUCUCUGACUUGCACUAACAUAUCCAAAUGAUAUUCUUGAAAAUAUUGUGAACAUACAGUAAAAGUCUACUUUUUAUUCACACAGCAUAAAAAUGAAGCAGCUUUGCACAAAGGCAGUCAGAUGAAUCAGACUGUGUCUUUUCCCAAUAAAUUUAAGGGAAGAAAAUGUUGCUUUUACUCUUCUCAUGUUAAAGAACUGACAACAGCCUAGUUUUAACUCCUUUCUUAAUGACUGCUGCCAAAGCAUCCAGCUGCCUCAGAGAUCCAGGCUCACUCACAGCUCACAGCAUUUCUUCAGCUGAGCAUCAGCUCCUGGAGAGCUGUAGGGAAACCUUCUUGCCCUCCACCCACCUUGAGAUAAUAAA